This 325-nucleotide ribosomal RNA is filed under the name uncultured eukaryote. RNAcentral describes it as "partial 18S ribosomal RNA". It matches the Rfam family "Eukaryotic small subunit ribosomal RNA", at positions 1470 to 1796 of the family's 1831-position model. The record is from RNAcentral.
CCCUUAGAUGUCCUGGGCCGCACGCGCGCUACACUGAUGCAUUCAACGAGCCUAUCCUUGACCGACAGGUCCGGGUAAUCUUUGAAUCUGCAUCGUGACGGGGAUAGAUUAUUGCAAUUAUUAAUCUUCAACGAGGAACGCCUAGUAGGCGCAAGUCAUCAGCUUGCGUCGAUUACGUCCCUGCCCUUUGUACACACCGCCCGUCGCUCCUACCGAUUGGGUGUGCUGGUGAAAUGUUCGGAUCGGCCGUUUGUCGCGGUUUCCGCGUCAUGUGGCUGAGAAGUUCAUUAAACCCUCCCACCUAGAGGAAGGAGAAGUCGUAACA